RNAcentral lists this ribosomal RNA (251 nucleotides) under uncultured prokaryote. RNAcentral's name for it is "partial 16S rRNA". It matches the Rfam family "Bacterial small subunit ribosomal RNA", at positions 525 to 775 of the family's 1533-position model. The record is from RNAcentral.
ACGUAGGGAGCGAGCGUUGUCCGGAAUUACUGGGCGUAAAGGGCGCGUAGGCGGGGAUUUAAGUUAGAUGUGAAAACUACCGGCUUAACCUGGAGAAGGCAUUUGAAACUGAGUAUCUUGAGGGCGGGUGAGGAAGGCAGAAUUCCUGGUGUAGCGGUGUAAUGCGUAGAUAUUAGGAGGAACACCGGAGGCGAAGGCGACUUUCUGGGCUGUCCCUGACGCUUAACUGCGAAGGUGUGGGUAUCGAACGG